GAUGAACGCUGGCGGCGUGCUUACCCUUUGCAAGUCGAACGAACCUUCGGGUUAGUGGCGGACGGGUGAGUAACGCGUGAAAAUCUGCCCUCAGGAGGGGGAUAACGGCUGGAAACGGCCGCUAAUACCCCAUAUGCCGAGAGGUGAAAUGAAUUUCGCCUGGGGAUGAGCUCGCGUCUGAUUAGCUAGUUGGUGGGGUAAAGGCCUACCAAGGCGACAAUCAGUAGCUGGUCUGAGAGGAUGAUCAGCCACACUGGGACUGAAACACGGCCCAAACUCCUACGGGAGGCAGCAGUGGGGAAUUUUCCGCAAUGGGCGAAAGCCUGACGGAGCAACGCCGCGUGAGGGAUGAAGGCCUCUGGGCUGUAAACCUCUUUUAUCAAGGAAAAAAAUCUGACGGUACUUGAUGAAUAAGCCACGGCUAAUUCCGUG
This 432-nucleotide ribosomal RNA is filed under the name uncultured bacterium. RNAcentral describes it as "bacterial SSU rRNA". It matches the Rfam family "Bacterial small subunit ribosomal RNA", at positions 28 to 507 of the family's 1533-position model. The record is from RNAcentral.